AGAGUUUGAUCCUGGCUCAGGAUGAACGCUAGCGGCAGGCCUAACACAUGCAAGCCGAGGGGCAUCGGGGAAGCGAUUCCGCCGGCGACCGGCGCACGGGUGAGUAACGCGUAUGGAACCUGCCCCCGCCCGGGGCACAGCCCGGUGAAAACCGGAUUAAUGCCCCAUGGACCCGGGGUCCGGCAUCGGACCUCGGGCAAAGCCCAGGCGGGCGGGGAUGGCCAUGCGUGGCAUUAGCUUGUAGGUGGGGUAACGGCCCACCUAGGCUUCGAUGCCUAUGGGGUCUAGAAGGAUGGUCCCACACACUGGCACUGAGACACGGGCCAGACUCCUACGGGAGGCAGCAGUGGGGAAUAUUGGUCAAUGGGCGCAAGCCUGAACCAGCCAUGCCGCGUGCGGGAGGAAGGCCCUUCGGGUCGUAAACCGCUUUGGCCGGGGAGGAAACCGUCCCGUUUUGGGGACGCUGACCGUACCCGGAGAACAAGCGCCGGCUAACUCCGUGCCAGCAGCCGCGGUAAUACGGAGGGCGCGAGCGUUAUCCGGAUUCAUUAGGUUUAAAGGGAGCGCAGGCGGGUCCGCGCGUCGGGGGUCAAAACCGGGGGCCCAACCCCCAGGACGCCCCCGAUACGGCGGACCUUGAGAGGACCCGGGGCGGGUGGAACGGACGGUGUAGCGGUGAAAUGCAUAGAUAUCGUCCAGAACCCCGAUAGCGAAGGCAGCCCGCCGGGGUCUCUCUGACGCUCAGGCUCGAAAGCGCGGGUAGCGAACAGGAUUAGAUACCCUGGUAGUCCGCGCCGUAAACGAUGGGCACUCGCCGUCGGCGCCUGUCGCCGGCGGCCAAGCGAAAGAAACUCAAAGGAAUUGACGGGGGCCCGCACAAGCGGAGGAACAUGUGGUUUAAUUCGAUGAUACGCGAGGAACCUUACCCGGGCUUGAAAGGGGGGCGCGUGGGCCCGAGAGGGCCCUUUCCCACGGGACUCCCCCCUAGGUGCUGCAUGGCUGUCGUCAGCUCGUGCCGUGAGGUGUCGGGUUAAGUCCCAUAACGAGCGCAACCCCCGCCGCCAGUUGCCAACGGUUCAAGCCGGGGACUCUGGCGGGACUGCCGGCGCAAGCCGCGAGGAAGGCGGGGACGACGUCAAGUCAGCACGGCCCUCACGUCCGGGGCGACACACGUGUUACAAUGGCCGGCACAGCGGGAAGCCACGCGGCGACGCGGAGCGGAUCCCGAAAGCCGGUCCCAGUUCGGAUCGGAGUCUGCAACCCGACUCCGUGAAGCCGGAUUCGCUAGUAAUCGCGCAUCAGCCACGGCGCGGUGAAUACGUUCCCGGGCCUUGUACACACCGCCCGUCAAGCCAUGGAAGCCUGGGGCGCCUGAAGUCCGCCGCCGCGAGGGGCGGCCUAGGGCGAGACAGGUGACUGGGGCUAAGUCGUAACAAGGUAGCCGUACCGGAAGGUGCGGCUG
Molecule: ribosomal RNA, 1462 nt
Filed under: microbial mat metagenome
Description: bacterial SSU rRNA
Rfam family: Bacterial small subunit ribosomal RNA
Source: RNAcentral